RNAcentral lists this ribosomal RNA (261 nucleotides) under Salmonella enterica subsp. enterica serovar Havana. RNAcentral describes it as "partial 16S ribosomal RNA". It matches the Rfam family "Bacterial small subunit ribosomal RNA", at positions 173 to 441 of the family's 1533-position model. The record is from RNAcentral. Lineage: Bacteria; Pseudomonadati; Pseudomonadota; Gammaproteobacteria; Enterobacterales; Enterobacteriaceae.
GUCGCAAGACCAAAGAGGGGGACCUUCGGGCCUCUUGCCAUCAGAUGUGCCCAGAUGGGAUUAGCUUGUUGGUGAGGUAACGGCUCACCAAGGCGACGAUCCCUAGCUGGUCUGAGAGGAUGACCAGCCACACUGGAACUGAGACACGGUCCAGACUCCUACGGGAGGCAGCAGUGGGGAAUAUUGCACAAUGGGCGCAAGCCUGAUGCAGCCAUGCCGCGUGUAUGAAGAAGGCCUUCGGGUUGUAAAGUACUUUCAGCG